Molecule: ribosomal RNA, 408 nt
Filed under: uncultured bacterium
Lineage: Bacteria
Description: partial 16S ribosomal RNA
Rfam family: Bacterial small subunit ribosomal RNA
Source: RNAcentral
GACGAACGCUGGCGGCGUGCUUAACACAUGCAAGUCGAACGCAGUGGCGAACGGGUGAGUAACGCGUAAUCACCCUGCCCUUCAGAGGGGGAUAACAGUUGGACACUACUGCUAAUACCGCAUACUGCAGUAGGGGAUUGCGUGUGAUUAGCUAGUUGGAGGGGUAACGUCCCACCAAGGCGACGAUCAGUAGAGGGGCUGAGAGGAUGAUCCGCCACACUGGGACUGAGACACGGCCAAGACUCCUACGGGAGGCAGCAGUGGGGAAGUUUGGACAAUGGGCGAAAGCCUGACCCAGCCAUGCCGCGUGGCUGAAGAAGGCCUUCGGGUUGUAAAGGACUUUUGUCAGGGAAGCGGUACCUAAAGAGUAAGCACCGGCUAACUACGUGCCAGCAGCCGCGGUAAUUC